Molecule: ribosomal RNA, 1406 nt
Filed under: Lactiplantibacillus plantarum
Lineage: Bacteria; Bacillati; Bacillota; Bacilli; Lactobacillales; Lactobacillaceae
Description: bacterial SSU rRNA
Rfam family: Bacterial small subunit ribosomal RNA
Source: RNAcentral
GUCGACGAACUCUGGUAUUGAUUGGUGCUUGCAUCAUGAUUUACAUUUGAGUGAGUGGCGAACUGGUGAGUAACACGUGGGAAACCUGCCCAGAAGCGGGGGAUAACACCUGGAAACAGAUGCUAAUACCGCAUAACAACUUGGACCGCAUGGUCCGAGCUUGAAAGAUGGCUUCGGCUAUCACUUUUGGAUGGUCCCGCGGCGUAUUAGCUAGAUGGUGGGGUAACGGCUCACCAUGGCAAUGAUACGUAGCCGACCUGAGAGGGUAAUCGGCCACAUUGGGACUGAGACACGGCCCAAACUCCUACGGGAGGCAGCAGUAGGGAAUCUUCCACAAUGGACGAAAGUCUGAUGGAGCAACGCCGCGUGAGUGAAGAAGGGUUUCGGCUCGUAAAACUCUGUUGUUAAAGAAGAACAUAUCUGAGAGUAACUGUUCAGGUAUUGACGGUAUUUAACCAGAAAGCCACGGCUAACUACGUGCCAGCAGCCGCGGUAAUACGUAGGUGGCAAGCGUUGUCCGGAUUUAUUGGGCGUAAAGCGAGCGCAGGCGGUUUUUUAAGUCUGAUGUGAAAGCCUUCGGCUCAACCGAAGAAGUGCAUCGGAAACUGGGAAACUUGAGUGCAGAAGAGGACAGUGGAACUCCAUGUGUAGCGGUGAAAUGCGUAGAUAUAUGGAAGAACACCAGUGGCGAAGGCGGCUGUCUGGUCUGUAACUGACGCUGAGGCUCGAAAGUAUGGGUAGCAAACAGGAUUAGAUACCCUGGUAGUCCAUACCGUAAACGAUGAAUGCUAAGUGUUGGAGGGUUUCCGCCCUUCAGUGCUGCAGCUAACGCAUUAAGCAUUCCGCCUGGGGAGUACGGCCGCAAGGCUGAAACUCAAAGGAAUUGACGGGGGCCCGCACAAGCGGUGGAGCAUGUGGUUUAAUUCGAAGCUACGCGAAGAACCUUACCAGGUCUUGACAUACUAUGCAAAUCUAAGAGAUUAGACGUUCCCUUCGGGGACAUGGAUACAGGUGGUGCAUGGUUGUCGUCAGCUCGUGUCGUGAGAUGUUGGGUUAAGUCCCGCAACGAGCGCAACCCUUAUUAUCAGUUGCCAGCAUUAAGUUGGGCACUCUGGUGAGACUGCCGGUGACAAACCGGAGGAAGGUGGGGAUGACGUCAAAUCAUCAUGCCCCUUAUGACCUGGGCUACACACGUGCUACAAUGGAUGGUACAACGAGUUGCGAACUCGCGAGAGUAAGCUAAUCUCUUAAAGCCAUUCUCAGUUCGGAUUGUAGGCUGCAACUCGCCUACAUGAAGUCGGAAUCGCUAGUAAUCGCGGAUCAGCAUGCCGCGGUGAAUACGUUCCCGGGCCUUGUACACACCGCCCGUCACACCAUGAGAGUUUGUAACACCCAAAGUCGGUGGG